UUCCCAAAUUAAUUGAGAAACCUAACCCUUGCUUCCCUCACCACACAGCCACAGCCUCACCCUUCCUUCAACGUAACAAACACACACGAACUCACCCUCUCUCCCUCAGCUUCACCGCGGCACACACAUACUCAGAACACCACACCCACUCAGUCCACACCCCUUCCGUCACACACCCACGCACUGUGAACGGAGUUACAUCGCUUCCAGCCCGCCUCGCCACCGCCGCCACCAUUAUUGCCGACGAAGAGGGACGCCGUCGACGCUGUUCAAGGAGGAAGGAGGAACCGAGCGAGACCCAGGGAAGGAGGGAGUCUCUGCUGCGUCACCACCGCGCCGUUGCCGCGCCUGGGUGCUGCUGUUGAAGCCACUCCUGCCGCCGCUGCUACUGGGGUUUACCGCCGUUGAUGAAGCUUCAGCCGCCGUUGAGGAAGGGAGCUCGAACGCCAUCCCUGGGAAGGAGGCUUGGCCGUCACCGAACAGAACGCGACAGUACUGAGAGACAUCACCGUUGUUGACGCCGGAGCUCGACAAGGGCUGUAGCGCCGUCACCAAACCACCGCGCCGCCGUAGCUGUCUCCGGGAAGGUCGUUGGAGCUUGCUGAGGAUAUUGUUCUGGUUCUGAAGCAAUUCAUCCAUGUCAGUGCUCAUUUUUAUCCCCUGUUCUGCCGCUGCCUCUGGGUUCUGCGAGUUGCUGGAGCCCUCUGCCACCGGGAACCAACAUUCAAGCUGCCCAGGAAACCACCAUUCUACUGUUUUGCUGCCGGCUCUGUUUGGAGACUGCUGCUAAGUCACCACCGAAGCUAAGAACAGGUGCUGGGAUCUGACGGAGCACCGCUGCUGCUAUGGAUUCUUAAUAUUGGUUUUGCUGCGUUUAAAUUCUUCAAUUUCGGCUAAUUGAGUGACACAGGUUUGAAGACGCAAUUUGAAGCUGCGAGCGAUUAGUAGGUUUUUCUUAUGGUUUUAAUUGGUCUCGUAGAGUUCCCUCGCUCUUGUCCCUUGAGAUUUUAUUUCAUAUAGAGGGGUAAGUUUAGUAUAUUGUAUUUGAGUUUCAUUUGGUUUCUUUUGUAUAAGAAUUAUUAUUAAUAAUAUUUAUGUGAUUAUUAUUACUUGUAAA
Long non-coding RNA from Arachis stenosperma, 1117 nucleotides. RefSeq lists it as uncharacterized. The transcript has 2 exons. The record is from RefSeq and is a predicted model, not a curated record. Lineage: Eukaryota; Viridiplantae; Streptophyta; Magnoliopsida; Fabales; Fabaceae.